Molecule: ribosomal RNA, 207 nt
Filed under: Staphylococcus epidermidis
Lineage: Bacteria; Bacillati; Bacillota; Bacilli; Caryophanales; Staphylococcaceae
Description: partial 16S ribosomal RNA
Rfam family: Bacterial small subunit ribosomal RNA
Source: RNAcentral
GCUAGUAAUCGUAGAUCAGCAUGCUACGGUGAAUACGUUCCCGGGUCUUGUACACACCGCCCGUCACACCACGAGAGUUUGUAACACCCGAAGCCGGUGGAGUAACCAUUUGGAGCUAGCCGUCGAAGGUGGGACAAAUGAUUGGGGUGAAGUCGUAACAAGGUAGCCGUAUCGGAAGGUGCGGCUGGAUCACCUCCUUUCUAAGGA